Molecule: long non-coding RNA, 322 nt
Filed under: Homo sapiens (human)
Lineage: Eukaryota; Metazoa; Chordata; Mammalia; Primates; Hominidae
Description: non-protein coding lnc-ANKRD30BL-9:1
Source: RNAcentral
ACUAACCCUCAUCCUCAAUAGUAACAGAGUUUUUUUAAUCGUAAUUUGGUCUACUUUCAAGGGUUUUGGUUUGUUUGUUUUUCUUUUUUUUGGUUCAGGUAAGUUUCUUAUAAAGAGCAUAUAGUUGAGUCAGGGUUUUUAAUCCUGUCUUAUGAUCUCUGCCUUUUAAUAAGAAUAUUUUGUCAAUUUAUAUUUAAUGCAAUUAUCAAUAUGAUUGGGUGUAUUUUGUAUGUAUUGUUUCUUUUUCCUUUUUUUUUUUUUUUUUUUUUUUGAGAUGGAGUCUUGCUCUGUUGCCCGGGCUGGAGUGCAGUGGUGCAAUCAU